Paramacrobiotus metropolitanus is the source of this 1057-nucleotide long non-coding RNA. RefSeq lists it as uncharacterized. The record is from RefSeq and is a predicted model, not a curated record. NCBI's taxonomy places the organism in Eukaryota, Metazoa, Tardigrada, Eutardigrada, Parachela, Macrobiotidae. The transcript is spliced from 3 exons.
GCGGGACCAUGGACGGAACGGACAAUUUUAAAGAGUUGUUGUUGUUAUAAUCACUGAUCAGUUUUGUUUUGUUACAGGAUUUGCUCACUGUGCCUGGCUUGUGCUAAUAAAGAGGAGUCAAGGCCUGCGUUCCUUGAUUAAGAAUAUGACAAAAAAGUGAACCUCCAAGAUACCUUGCGCGAUUUCAUAUCCUUCAAGUUCUUCAUUCGCCUGAAAGCGGGAAAAUGGGAAUUAAAUGGGAAGACCCGGUUAUAAAGUACGUACUGCUGUAAAGCGUUUUAGCGGUGACAUCGCCCAGGCGCGCAUGUUGCAUGCGGACGUCAGGACACAGCACCCAUGGCCAAGCUUAAGGGGUCAGUGCACGGCUCCAAGCGUUCCCGCGCGGAAGCAUCCCUUGACGCUGCGUCUGUGUGCACGGCAUGUUCAUCCGAUCGGGUCUGCGGACGAGCGCGGCUAUCAGGUGCAAGCUUAGCGCGGAACGGAAACCGAUUUACGCCUAUCUAAAUGCGGAUAUAAAGCGCGCAUUCGCCUCGGCAGGAACAGAAACGCAACGAGAACUUCCUGGAAAUUCCCGUUAACAGAUGGCAAGCGACCAGAGGGCGCGACACUAACGCCAUGGGAAAGGGGAAAGUGAGGCACAUCCCAAGUCAACCAGUUUGAGCACUAUAGGGCCCUGUCGCGUGCGUCACCGUAGCUCUCACUAGGGCCGGAGCAGCACAAGCAGAGCCGAACAAGAUCGGAGAGUAAGUGCUAGUACCGUAACAUCUCGCUGGACUACCGACUACUUAUGCAGCACGCUAGGCUUUGACGUUCUCGUGCUAUGCGGACCGGAAGCAACUUGCCUGAUAAGUGAACCAGGAAAACUAUCCGCCAGGAAACAGAAAAAUCCCGAGAUAUUACGUAUUGUGUGACUCGAGCCAUGCUUGCAAUUUACGUCUGGCGACGCGAUAACGUGGAUCAGCAAAGAGAUCCAUUGAGGAAACGCACGAUCCAUUGUAUACUGGGAAUUUGCAGCGACACCGACGGCGAAUUGCAUGCCUGAUUGUGGAUUGCGGUA